RNAcentral lists this ribosomal RNA (503 nucleotides) under Neohaemonia minnesotensis. RNAcentral's name for it is "partial 16S ribosomal RNA". The stretch from base 377 to 503 matches the Rfam family "Bacterial large subunit ribosomal RNA", at positions 2473 to 2600 of the family's 2925-position model. Lineage: Eukaryota; Metazoa; Arthropoda; Insecta; Coleoptera; Chrysomelidae. The record is from RNAcentral.
GGCUUAUUGAGGGUUAAUUUUAAGUCUAGCCUGCCCAAUGAUUAUUUAAUGGCCGCAGUAAAUUGACUGUGCUAAGGUAGCAUAAUCAUUUGUUUUUUAAUUGAAAGCUUGUAUGAAAGGUUUUAUAAGAAAAUAACUGUCUCUUUUAUAUAAUUAAAAAUUUAUUUUUAAGUUAAAAAGCUUAAAUUUAGUUAAAAGACGAGAAGACCCUAUAGAAUUUUAUAUAAAUUAUUUUUAAUUUAUUAGAAUAUAAUUUUUAAUAUUAAGUUUAUAUUUAAUUGGGGUGAUUAGAAAAAUAAAGUAUCUUUUCUUUAUUAUAACAUUAAUUUAUGAUUAAUUGAUUCAUUUAAAUGAUUUAAGAUUAAAUUACCUUAGGGAUAACAGCGUUAUUUUUUUUUAUAGUUCAAAUUAAAAAAAAAGAUUGCGACCUCGAUGUUGGAUUAAAAUUUUUAUUUGGUGUAGUAGCUAAAUUAUUAAGUCUGUUCGACUUUUAAAAUUUUACA